AGUGAACGCUGGCGGUAGGCCUAACACAUGCAAGUCGAACGGCAGCACAGUAAGAGCUUGCUCGUACGGGUGGCGAGUGGCGGACGGGUGAGGAAUACAUCGGAAUCUACUUUUUCGUGGGGGAUAACGUAGGGAAACUUACGCUAAUACCGCAUACGACCUACGGGUGAAAGCAGGGGAUCUUCGGACCUUGCGCGAUUGAAUGAGCCGAUGUCGGAUUAGCUAGUUGGCGGGGUAAAGGCCCACCAAGGCGACGAUCCGUAGCUGAUCUGAGAGGAUGAUCAGCCACACUGGAACUGAGACACGGUCCAGACUCCUACGGGAGGCAGCAGUGGGGAAUAUUGGACAAUGGGCGCAAGCCUGAUCCAGCCAUACCGCGUGGGUGAAGAAGGCCUUCGGGUUGUAAAGCCCUUUUGUUGGGAAAGAAAAGCAGCAGGUUAAUACCCCGCUGUUCUGACGGUACCCAAAGAAUAAGCACCGGCUAACUUCGUG
Molecule: ribosomal RNA, 492 nt
Filed under: uncultured bacterium
Lineage: Bacteria
Description: partial 16S ribosomal RNA
Rfam family: Bacterial small subunit ribosomal RNA
Source: RNAcentral